RNAcentral lists this ribosomal RNA (420 nucleotides) under uncultured eukaryote. RNAcentral describes it as "bacterial SSU rRNA". It matches the Rfam family "Eukaryotic small subunit ribosomal RNA", at positions 592 to 1016 of the family's 1831-position model. The record is from RNAcentral.
CAAUAGCGUAUAUUAAAGUUGUUGCGGUUAAAAAGCUCGUAGUUGGAUUUCUACCGAAGACAGCCGGUCCACACUACGUGUGCGCAUCUGGUGUGGCUUUGGUAUCCUCAUGGAGAACAGUUCUGCGCUUCAUUGCGUGGACUGGUAUUCAUGACUUUUACUUUGAAAAAUUAAGAGUGUUCAAAGCAGGCGAUCGCUUGAAUACAUUAGCAUGGAAUAAUAGAAUAGGACUUUGGUUCUAUUUUGUUGGUUUCUAGGACCGAAGUAAUGAUUAAUAGGGACAGUUGGGGGCGAUUAGUAUUUAAUUGUCAGAGGUGAAAUUCUUGGAUUUAUGAAAGACUAACUACUGCGAAAGCAUUUGCCAAGGAUGUUUUCAUUAAUCAAGAACGAAAGUUAGGGGAUCGAAGACGAUCAGAUACC